GGACGAUACUCUGGAGAGACCCGUUGAAUCGGGCGCCGAAGGAGCAAGGCACCGUGAUUGCAUCGCAAUCUGGCGCCGGAAACUCUCAGGCAAAAGGACAGAGGGGAUGGG
Aeromonas hydrophila subsp. hydrophila ATCC 7966 is the source of this 111-nucleotide regulatory RNA element. It matches the Rfam family "Glycine riboswitch aptamer". Rfam says of the family: This family represents the bacterial glycine riboswitch. Glycine riboswitches usually consist of two metabolite-binding aptamers domains with similar structures in tandem. The record is from Rfam. Lineage: Bacteria; Pseudomonadati; Pseudomonadota; Gammaproteobacteria; Aeromonadales; Aeromonadaceae.